UACGGAGAGUGCAAGCAUUAAUCGGAAUGAUUGGGCGUAAAGGGCGCGUAGGCGGGAUAGCAAGUCAGAUGUGAAAUACUGAAGCUCAACUUCAGUGCUGCAUUUGAAACUGCCAUUCUUGAGGGUUGACGGAGAAAACGGAAUUCCACGUGUAGCGGUGAAAUGCGUAGAUAUGUGGAAGAACACCCGUGGCGAAAGCGGUUUUCUAGUUGAUACCUGACGCUGAGGCGCGAGAGCAAGGGGAG
RNAcentral lists this ribosomal RNA (245 nucleotides) under uncultured Simkania sp. Its description in RNAcentral is "partial 16S ribosomal RNA". It matches the Rfam family "Bacterial small subunit ribosomal RNA", at positions 524 to 768 of the family's 1533-position model. The record is from RNAcentral. Lineage: Bacteria; Pseudomonadati; Chlamydiota; Chlamydiia; Parachlamydiales; Simkaniaceae.